CCUACGGGAGGCAGCAGUGAGGAAUAUUGGUCAAUGGCCGGAAGGCUGAACCAGCCAAGCCGCGUGAAGGACGAAGGUGCCAAGCAUUGUAAACUUCUUUUGUCAGGGACGAAACAAAUGACGGUACCUGACGAAUAAGCCACGGCUAACUACGUGCCAGCAGCCGCGGUAAUACGUAGGUGGCAAGCGUUAUCCGGAUUUACUGGGUGUAAAGGGCGUGUAGGCGGGAGAGCAAGUCAGAUGUGAAAUUCCAGGGCUCAACCCUGGAACUGCAUUUGAAACUGUUUUUCUUGAGUGAUGGAGAGGCAGGCGGAAUUCCGUGUGUAGCGGUGAAAUGCGUAGAUAUACGGAGGAACACCAGUGGCGAAGGCGGCCUGCUGGACAUUAACUGACGCUGAGGCGCGAAAGCGUGGGGAGCAAACAGGAUUAGAUACCCGUGUAGUC
Molecule: ribosomal RNA, 444 nt
Filed under: uncultured bacterium
Lineage: Bacteria
Description: partial 16S ribosomal RNA
Rfam family: Bacterial small subunit ribosomal RNA
Source: RNAcentral